ACAAGCGGUGGAGGUAUGUGGUUUAAUUCGAUGCAACGCGAAGAACCUUACCUGGUCUUGACAUCCCGGAGACCCUUAGGAACUAGGGGUGCUUCCAUCUGGAAGAAUCUGGAGACAGGUGCUGCAUGGCUGUCGUCAGCUCGUGUCGUGAGAUGUUGGGGUUAAGUCCCGCAACGAGCGCAACCCUUGCCUUUAGUUGCCAGCAGUUCGGCUGGGCACUCUAAAGGGACUGCCGGUGUUAAACCGGAGGAAGGUGGGGAUGACGUCAAGUCCUCAUGGCCUUUAUGACCAGGGCUACACACGUACUACAAUGGCCGAUACAAAGGGCAGCGACACUGCGAGGUGAAGCCAAUCCCGUAAAAUCGGUCUCAGUCCGGAUUGGAGUCUGCAACUCGACUCCAUGAAGUUGGAAUCGCUAGUAAUCGUGGAUCAGCAUGCCACGGUGAAUACGUUCCCGGGCCUU
This 463-nucleotide ribosomal RNA is filed under the name uncultured Desulfobulbus sp. RNAcentral's name for it is "bacterial SSU rRNA". It matches the Rfam family "Bacterial small subunit ribosomal RNA", at positions 925 to 1382 of the family's 1533-position model. Lineage: Bacteria; Pseudomonadati; Thermodesulfobacteriota; Desulfobulbia; Desulfobulbales; Desulfobulbaceae. The record is from RNAcentral.